This 872-nucleotide ribosomal RNA is filed under the name uncultured Chloroflexota bacterium. RNAcentral describes it as "bacterial SSU rRNA". It matches the Rfam family "Bacterial small subunit ribosomal RNA", at positions 514 to 1398 of the family's 1533-position model. Lineage: Bacteria; Bacillati; Chloroflexota. The record is from RNAcentral.
GCCGCGGUAAAACGUAGGACGCAAGCGUUAUCCGGAAUUACUGGGCGUAAAGAGCGUGUAGGCGGAUGCUUAAGUCAGCCGUGAAAGCUCCCGGCUAAACUGGGAGAGGUCGGUUGAUACUGGGUGUCUAGAGGACGAUAGAGGGGUGCGGAAUUCCGGGUGUAGUGGUGAAAUGCGUAGAUAUCCGGAGGAACACCAGAGGCGAAGGCGGCGCCCUGGAUCGUGCCUGACGCUGAGACGCGAAAGCAUGGGUAGCGAACGGGAUUAGAAACCCCGGUAGUCCAUGCCGUAAACGAUGCACACUAGAUGUUCGCGUACCUACGGGUGCGUGAGUGUCGCAGCAAACGCGGUAAGUGUGCCGCCUGGGGAGUACGGUCGCAAGGCUAAAACUCAAAGGAAUUGACGGGGGCCCGCACAAGCAGCGGAGCGUGUGGUUUAAUUCGAGGCUACGCGAAGAACCUUACCUGGGCUUGACAUCCCACGAACAAACCUGAAAAGGGGCGGUUCCUUCGGGACGUGGAGACAGGUGCUGCAUGGCUGUCGUCAGCUCGUGUCGUGAGAUGUUCGGUUAAGUCCGAAAACGAGCGCAACCCUCGGUGUUAGUUACAAGUGUCUAACACGACUGCCUGCGGCAAGCAGGAGGAAGGUGGGGAUGACGUCAAGUCAGCAUGGCCUUUAUGUCCAGGGCUACACACACGCUACAAUGGCGCGUACAAUGGGUCGCGAAACCGCGAGGUGGAGCCAAUCCUGCAAAGCGCGUCGUAGUUCGGAUUGUAGGCUGCAACUCGCCUGCAUGAAGUCGGAGUUGCUAGUAACCGCAGAUCAGCACGCUGCGGUGAAUACGUUCCCGGGCCUUGCACACACCGCCCGUC